This 404-nucleotide ribosomal RNA is filed under the name Actinomycetes bacterium. RNAcentral's name for it is "Actinobacteria bacterium partial 16S ribosomal RNA". It matches the Rfam family "Bacterial small subunit ribosomal RNA", at positions 355 to 776 of the family's 1533-position model. The record is from RNAcentral. Lineage: Bacteria; Bacillati; Actinomycetota; Actinomycetes.
UGGGGAAUAUUGGACAAUGGGCGCAAGCCUGAUCCAGCCAUGCCGCGUGAGUGAUGAAGGCCAUAGGGUUGUAAAGCUCUUUCACCGGUGAAGAUAAUGACGGUAACCGGAGAAGAAGCCCCGGCUAACUUCGUGCCAGCAGCCGCGGUAAUACGAAGGGGGCUAGCGUUGUUCGGAUUUACUGGGCGUAAAGCGCACGUAGGCGGACUUUUAAGUCAGGGGUGAAAUCCCGGGGCUCAACCCCGGAACUGCCUUUGAUACUGGAAGUCGUGAGUAUGGUAGAGGUGAGUGGAAGUCCGAGUGUAGAGGUGAAAUUCGUAGAUAUUCGGAGGAACACCAGUGGCGAAGGCGGCUCACUGGACCAUUACUGACGCUGAGGUGCGAAAGCGGGGGGAGCAAACAGG